This is an RNA transcript of Pongo pygmaeus (Bornean orangutan), 3867 nucleotides long. It is a transcript of the gene named thioredoxin domain containing 8, with no coding region annotated. The record is from RefSeq and is a predicted model, not a curated record. Lineage: Eukaryota; Metazoa; Chordata; Mammalia; Primates; Hominidae. The transcript is spliced from 6 exons.
CCCAUGUAUUCCAGGCAGGAUACUGUAAUAAAUAGGAGACAGCUACAGUGAUCCAACUAAACCAACAGGGGAUUUUCAUCAGCACUUCCCUGGUGUAAUCAUGGUGCAGAUUAUUAAAGACAUGAAUGAAUUCAAAACAUUUUUGACAGCUGCCGGACACAAACUCGCAGUGGUUGAAUUUUCUUCGAAACAGUGUGGUCCCUGCAAAAGGAUGGUUCCUGUUUUCCAUGCUAUGUCUGUGAAAUACCAAAAUGUAUUUUUUGCUAAUGUGGAUGUGAACAAUUCUCCGGAACUGGCUGAAACUUGUCACAUCAAAACAAUACCCACAUUUCAGAUGUUCAAGAAAAGGCAGAAGGGCUCCAUCUUCAGGCCUACACCAACCAGUGAACUCCAUCCCCAUCAGAAAUGGACCCUUGACUCCAGUCAAGCCAAUCCAAGUCAAACCAGAGCUAAUUGCAAGACUUUGCUUAAGCAGCUAGGUAAAUAACCUUCUCUUUUGAUAUCACUGGAUUUGAAUUUGGGAAGAUAUGAGUCUGAAGCUACUACAGCUUGUCACCAUGUAAAACUUGAAAAUGAAUCUACCACACAGAAGAAAACAGAGUCAAGCCAAGAGAACUGACUAGGAAGGUGUCCAUGAACAUCCACUGUUUUCCUGGUGGGUCAAGAAAAAUCAAAUGCACUUUUUUGAGGACUACCUCCAUAAAUGUGCUCCUCUCAUUUAUCUGGGACAGCACAACUGAAAACUGACUUAUUGAAGCAGUUAAGUACUGUGUGUCUUUUAUUAUUUUAAAAAAUAAAACCUAGAGUCCAGUUCCUAUUAAGGCUUCUUACAAGAAAUGUCUUACAUUUCUGGUAAAACAUCUGGCAAAGAGCCACUUGUCCAUUAUACCCUUUUAAAUGUACAUUGUAUAAAAAGCUUUAUGAUAAUUUCUCCCAGAACACAAGAGUUAGGAGAAUACUCACCUCCCUUGAAAGUAUGGCUCUCUUCUCUGCAUUGGAUCAGAAAAGCUAGGGAAUCCCUUGGGCUUCUCUUUUUGCCAUGGCCACCAAGAAUCUCAGGAUUGCCUCCUCUGCUCAAACAUAGUAAUCUCCCUUACCAGCAGUUUCCUGGCACUCCCUAUCAGCCACACCCACACAGCAACAUCCUUGAAUGGUUUCAUUAUUUUUUCUUCCCCUUGAUUCUAGCUCGUUUCAAUUAUUUUCAAAGUAUAUAAAACAUCAAUAAAAUAGAACUUGAAAAAACUAAAACAAACGAAGCUAUAUACAAUGACCUAGGACCAUGGCAGAUUAUGGGCCAUCCCUGGUUGCUGAAGUUUUCAUGCAGAGAUUGAACGAACAUCUGGCAGGGAUGCAAUAUAAGCAGUGGCUGAAGUUAUGUCCUAGUUCUAGGGCAAAGAAGAGCCUAAGCAAAUUCCAGGUAAUAAAUAAGGGGAGCUUGUUCCUUCCUGCUGUACUCCUUGGUGUUUUCAUCUAGGACAUCACAUCAUGUUUCAGGAAGAUUAAUUGUGGUAAAUAAGAUCAUUCCUGUGGUUUCUUCCAGAUGGGGGAGCCAAAACUUUGUCUGGUCUUUGUAACCAGAAUAUUAAACUGUAUUCUCUUGUAAGUUGUUCAUAAAUUGGAUUUAUAGAUCCUCUUAAAAUCUAAUAAAGGCUAUGAACUGUCUCCAUCCGGACAAAAGAACAUAGGCACAUAAACUAAAAUGUGAGAUAAUAGUAGGAUAUUCAGUGACCCUCUGAAGCCUAUCAAUGGAUCCCCAAAGUGAAUAACUUUGGUUGUAGACCCAUUGAAUUAAUCUGUUCUCAUGCUGCUAAUAAAGACACACCUGAGACUGGGUAAUUUAUACAGGAAAGAGGUUUAAUUGAUUCACAGCUCCACAUGACCAGGGAGGCCUCACAAUCAUGGUGGAAGGCAAAGGAGAAGCAAAGGGAUGUCUUACAUGAUGGCAGGCAAGAGGGUGUGCGCAGGGGAACUCCCCUUUAUAAAACCAUCAGACUCUCAUAAGACUUAUUCACUAUCAAGAGAAUAGCACAAGAAAGACCCGCCCCCAUGAUUCAAUUACCUCCUACUGGGUCCCUCCCAUGACACAUGGGAAUUAUGGGAGCUACAACUCAAGAUGAGAUUUGGAUACACAACUCAUGGUUGGUGUAUGUCUAUGGAGUAGGGAAAGAGAAACCAGGAAUUAGCAAGUUUGGGGCAACUGCUUAAAUAUAAGCCAACCAUCAAAAGUUGACUCCAUCUUUCAUUCUUUGAUUAUAGAAUAAAAUAGUUUCCCAAAGCACUUAGGUUCACUCAUAAGAGAGAUGGGAUAUGAGUACAUAGAUGCUACUAAACAAAUUAGUCACAAAUGAAUAAUUCAGGAAAACCCAUCUGCUAGACUGAGCUAUCAUAUAAAGUGGGAGGAAGCUUGUGCCCUUAUGUUUAUGAACUGUAGGGCUCUUGCUGAGAUUAUAAAAGUCAUUUCAACAGCACGCUCCUUAAAGUAGGUACAGGAAUUACAAGAAUCUCCAGGAGAUGAUACCGUGGUAUGCUAGAAAGAGGACAAGAUUGGAAGCAAGGGUCACACACUCUGUGUCUUCAAGGACCAAGUAGGGAGAAUAAGGUGAAACAAUACUUUUGAGGAAGAUGUUGGUGCCUGGAGAAUCAUGUUCCCAGAUUCUCUCUGUUCAACUUCAUAAAACACAGUGCUUGAUCCAUCUCCCAAAAGAGCGUCUUCAGUAAGUUUUUGCCAUCUAUAGAAUCAGACAACUGCAGGUUGAGCCCCAGGUCUGCCUCUUAUUAGUGGCAAAGUACCAUAACCACCUUGAGGCUUAGUUUCCUUCUCUGUAAAAUGGGGACACCACCUAUCUUUAAACAACUGUCAGGCAAAUUUGUGAUAUUGUAUCUAAAGUGCCUAGCACUGGACUUGGUAAAUACUAGAAGAUGUAGCUAUCAUUAGAGUCCCAGGAUCUAGCUGUGCACACCCAUCUCUCUGAAAAUGUAUAAAUAAAUAGUAAUUUAGAAAUAAAGUUUAUGAAGACCUCUAAGGCUCUUUCAAUAACUACAACAUCCAUUUAAGCUAAGUCAUUUUAGCAUUCAGGAGUUGCCUACCCAAUAAUAUUUAACCUGUCAAGGACUGUGUUACACACAGAGAUGUUCUGCAUGAGAAAAAAAAGAAACCUCUCACGUGCAGGACUCUGAAGGUGCAGAUCCCUAAAAGGGGUUCCUAUCAACUCCAUAAACAGCUGAUGCACUGGCAGAGAUUGACUGGGGGUCGGGGGGCAAGAACUAAGUGAGAUGGAACAAAAGUGGGCAAAGUGUAGUAACUAUUUAGAAACAUCUAGCAACCUUUAGCACCGUUGCUAAAGAUGCUGCUCUCUGCUUUAACAGUUGAAAGGCUCACGUGUGUCUCUUCUCCCAAGCAGGUAUUAGGGUGCAGCAAGCAAGUUAGGAUAUGACAAGUGCAGGAUUAAAUCUUACCUUUAUUUAAAUUUUUGAUAUUUUGUUCAUCAUGGAUUUUUUGCAUUGGGUUUUAAUACUUUUAUAUAAUACUUAUUAACAUAAUAUUUAUCUUGAUUACUGAGUUUUGGCAGCUACCCCUUAAAUUUUUUUUUUUUAGACGGAGUCGUGCUCUGUCGCCCAGGCUGGAAGGCAGUGGUGCUAUCUCGGCCCACUGCAAGCUCCACCUCCCUGCUUCACGCCAUUCUCCUGCCUCAGCCUCGCGAGUAGCUGGGACUACAGGUGUCCGCCACAAUGCCCGGCUAAUUUUUUGUAUUUUUUAGUAGAGACAGGGUUUCACCGUGUUAGGCAGGAUGGUCUCGAUCUCCUGACCUCGUGAUCCAUCUGCCUCGGCCUCCCAAAGUGCUGGGAUUACAGGCGUGAGCAACCGCG